This is a long non-coding RNA of Passer montanus (Eurasian tree sparrow), 272 nucleotides long. RefSeq lists it as uncharacterized. The record is from RefSeq and is a predicted model, not a curated record. The transcript has 3 exons. NCBI's taxonomy places the organism in Eukaryota, Metazoa, Chordata, Aves, Passeriformes, Passeridae.
UCCUCCAGGGGACGACAGCUCCACAGCCGUGCUCUGCCUCCUGCUUAUGGAUUCUCUUUUGGUGCCUGGGAGAAAGGAUGGGCUGGCACAGGAGCCAGACCUGCCCAGGAGGAGCAGCCUUGGAAUGCCCAUCCCAGAAUUGCUGCCAGGCUCAGGGCUGUGGCACCUUGACAGCAGGGUGAAGAGCCACCGGUGGGGCCGAGAUUUGUGCUGCUGGCACAGAGAUCCCAUCCUGGCAUUUUGCUGUUCCAGAAAUAAACUUCGGCUUAGGA